This is an RNA transcript of Bubalus bubalis (water buffalo), 4074 nucleotides long. It is a transcript of the gene named cytochrome P450 1A4-like, with no coding region annotated. The record is from RefSeq and is a predicted model, not a curated record. The transcript is spliced from 9 exons. NCBI's taxonomy places the organism in Eukaryota, Metazoa, Chordata, Mammalia, Artiodactyla, Bovidae.
UAAUGAAGUAUAGUUGAUUUACAAUAUUGUGUUAUUGGGAGUACAGCAAAGUUAUUUGCUUAUACAUAUAUAUUAUUUUUUUCGAUUCUUCUCAAGAUAUUAAACAUAGUUACCUGUAUUAUAUAUAAGUCCUUGUCGUUAAUCUAUUUUACAUAUCCGUUGAUUCCAUACUCAUAAUUUAUCUCUCCCUCACACCUUCCCCUUUGGUAACCAUAAGUUUGUUUUCUAUGUCCACAUACGCAUUUUAUUUUUGCAGAAACUAGAAUCAUAUUCUGCAUGAAAGUUUUGAAAGCUACUCUUAUGCUUAAUAAUCUAAUAUACUGUUAGCAUCUUUACUUAUCGUUAAAUCAUCCAUAAUCACAAUGUUGUUGUCCACAUAGGGUAUUAGCAUAUCUCCAUAGACAGAAAGUGAAGUCGUUCAGUCGUGUCUGACUCUUUGCGAGCCCAUGGACUAUAGCCUACCAGGCUCCUCCGUCGAUGGGAUUUUCCAGGCAAGAGUACUGGAGUGGGCUGCCAUUCUCUUUUCCAGGGGAUCUUGCCGACCCAGGGAUCGAAUCCGGUCUCCCGCAUUGUAGGCAGAGGCGUUUACCAUCUGAGCCACCAGGGAAGUCCAUAGUGCAUAGAUAUGCUAAUAUAUCAUAAAUCAGCAUUCCCUCAUUUUUGGAUGUGUUAAAUAAUUUGUAUUAAAUUAUGCUGUAAUGAGUAUCUGUGUUUCAGAGUCAUUACAAACAUUUGUUGAUAUGUUAAAUUUUGAAGAAAUGUCCAUUCUGUUCUCAUUACAUUGUUUGAAUCCUAAUGAUAAUUACUGUGUAUAUAAGUCCCUUUGAAAAUAGUUUGUCACAUACAGAAAGGUAAUUUCUUGAAUGGCAGUUCAUAUGUAAAUUCCUUCUUUUUCCUUCCUUCCUCCUUCCUCCAUCCCUCUUUCUUUCUUUUUCUUUUUUCUUCUCCUCUCCAUCCCUGGCUCAUCCUCCUCCCACUUCUUUCUCCCUCUUUGUUUCUUCCUCACCUUCUUCAUGCUCUCUUUUGCCAAUUAUGUUUGAUGAUAAACUGAGGCAUUAUUUGAAUUACUGCAGGUUCCUUUCUAAAGCAGACAGUAUGACUAAAAAUGCAUAAGGAUAGAUUUCUUUUUUGGGGACUGUGGAUAGUGAUGGGAACAGCUGGGAUGGAAAUUGAAGGAAAUGGCAGGGACAUUUAAAUAGAUAUAAAUGGAGUUGUUUAGCACAAAACUUAGAAUUUCUUCUGGUAGGCGAAUACAUUAGAAGAGAGUAUAUUUUUUCCUUAUAAAUAUAAAAUGCUAAAUCUUAAAACCAUCUGUGCUCUUUCUGAAAGUUUAAAAUUUGAAUUUAGGUAAGUCAAAGUGAAAAUGUUCAUGUGUUGCCAAGCAACAUGGCUAAAUCUAAGAUCUCACAAUCAAGUGCCAUAAAAAAUGUUGACUACAAUAAGUGUGUCCCCAAAGCCAGUGAGUCAGCAUGAGCUAUUUCAGGAGGAGUUUGCAGGGAGCCCAGAAAAAGUCCCCAAUGAGGGUAAAAUUGUCUUCAAGCCAUUUUGCCUUUCUUUUGCAGUGCAAAUCCUUGUACCUCAACUCACUGUUUCCCAAAUCAGAUACAGGCAAGGAGAUCAAAUGUAUCCUGUUCCAUCCCAUAAAGUUGCUCUCCGUGAAGUGAGAGGAUCACCUCAAUAUGCAGACACUAGGAGCCUAUACCCUUACUCAGAGGGCAGAAGCCCAUGGCUAGAGUCGAUGAACUGGAAAGUCGAAGUUCCAUCUAGAUCUCCACAUCAGAAUGAAGAUCAAGAAGAGGAUUAGAAUGCAUGCCUGUGUUAUUAUUCCUGGAAAUGUUCCAUCUAAAUUCAGAUAGCUCUUUUUUUUUUUUACCCACUCAUUGAUUCUACCUGUGGUUUUUUGUUUGUUGGUUUCUCCCAAAAUUCUUUUUUGAAAUGGAAUUUGUUGAAGACGAGUAUUUGUCACUUUUUUUUUUAAUGUGUCUGGCCACAUGGAACUUCUGGAAAUUCUAAGAAAAUGAUUUAAAAUUGUUAGCUGGGUGUCUUCCCCAUCUCUGAAGAUCUACAUUUACUUAAAAGUUGAAGAAAUUUAAGCCUUGAUUUCCUAUGGGGUAAAGAACGAAGAUUGGUGGAAAUAAGUGACCCAGAAGAAAGUUUUCUUCUCUGACAUAAGACUCAGGCAAGAAUGAGAAGCUUAGCAUGCAUGGGAAAUAAAACCUAUGAAUUCUUUACCAGCUGAGCCAUGAGGAAAGCCCAGAAAAUAAAACAAAAGUAUAUGGUUUAAAAAAUAACAUGUCUGAGGAGGAAUCAUCAUAAUUUUUGGAUGCUUGCCUUCAUAUCCCAGAAGCCCUAUUGUGAAGAAGCCCAGACCACAUGGAGAGGCCAUACAUAAGUGCUCCAGUCCAGAACCUUUGCUUAAGUCUCAGUUUGCAGCCAUCAUUGACCUGUGCAUGAACAAGAUCUCAGAUGAUUCCAGUCCCCAGCCUUUGAGUUUUCUAGACUUUAUGGAUUAGUUUUCCCUCAGGACCCACAUUUCCAAGAAUCUCUAAUUUUAUGGAAAUAAAUGCAGUGCAAAAUGAAAGCCUCCCUGGAAGGCAUUUACCUGCUCCCUUCUCUCUUUCUCCCUAGAGGUUUGAAAUAAUAUCAACAUGUAUAUAUUGGAGCUUUCUUUAUUUGAUAUACUAUCCGGAAAUUCAAGUCAAAAUUCAAGAAUAAAUUGAUGGAAACACUGGGAUGAAAUCACCCAGGUUUGAAGACAGGAAAAUUUUACCCUACACAGAAGCUUUUAUAAAUGAAAUAUUCAGGCAUACCUCCUUUUUCCCUUUUACUAUUCCUCAUUGUACUACAGCAGACACUACUCUGAAUGGCUAUUUCAUUCCCAGGAAAACAUGCACCUUUAUUCAUAUGUAUCAAGUAAAUCAUGAUGAGUCUAUGACCUCCGGUGCAGAGAAAACAAAGUUUUCUCCUAGGAAGAGGGUGACAUCUACAGACAAAGAGACCCAGUUCUUCCUGAAGUCAGAACUAUUUGGGAUAAUCCCAAUUUACUUAGACCUGAGAGAUCUCUGAAUGAAAACAGGGAACUGAAUAAAAGUCUUAUUGAGAAAGUCUUCAUUUUUGGAAUGGGAAUCCAGAAGUGUCUCAGAGAAGAGGUUGCAUGAAAUGAAGUAUUCGUUUUCAUCACCACAGUUCUGCAACAGCUCACACUGAAGAAAUGCCCUGUGGUCAAGCUUGACCUGACACCCACAUAUGGAUUAGUCACGAAGCCAAAACCACACCAACUUUGAGCAGAGCCCUGUUCCAUGGGUAGUUCCUGUUCUUAGAUUCUCAGACCAGAUGGAAGUUUUGUUGUUUAAUUUAGAAAAAUGUGGGGCUUCAAAUGCACUUAGCAAGCAGUUUAUUAAUAAAAUUCAUCCCUCUAAGCUCAGUUCAGUUCGUUGUAUGUCAUCCUAGUGUUGUGGUUUUUUAAGUGUAUGGUGUAGCCUGCCUCCUCAUAUGAGAGCUCUUAUCUUAUGAGGAUAUUUUAAGAUAAUGAAGUGUAAUGUGAUGCAAGGGUUUUAAACCCAUGUCUCAUGCGCUGGUGUCCCAAGUGUCACUGUGAGCAAUGGAGAAGGGAAUGAAUGAGCACUGGUAGAUGGAGCAAGCAGGCAAGGGGCUUCCAUCUUCCUUCCCUCUGUGCCAGCUUCAGUAGACAAAUAUACUGAUAUUAGUUUUCAACAUUGGGGUCAGAAUAAGAACAAAGUUCUGAUGUUGAAUAUAUUUCUUUCCACUGGAUGUGGAACUAGGUACUCAAGAGGUCCAGAGAAGGGAGUUAAAGUUGCCCAGAGCAGUGGAGAACAUUUCAUGGGAUAAUAGAUGAGCUGUGCUAGAUUUGGAGAGACGGGGGAAAGCAUGUAAAGAGGGGAUGGAUUCAAAAUCCAUUUUUAUAUUGGCUCUAUGUUUUCUGGAUUAUGAAUUUAACUUCAGGGCAAAUUGGUAUUUUUGCAAUGUUAUCAGUUCCUUUUGAUAACUUAUUAAAUAUACAUGUGUAUUAGUUUGCAAGGGCUGCUGCCGAAAUAAAAUAUUAAUACCACAGUC